This 253-nucleotide ribosomal RNA is filed under the name uncultured bacterium. Its description in RNAcentral is "partial 16S ribosomal RNA". It matches the Rfam family "Bacterial small subunit ribosomal RNA", at positions 524 to 776 of the family's 1533-position model. The record is from RNAcentral.
UACGGGGGGGGUAAGCGUUGUUCGGAAUUACUGGGCGUAAAGCGCACGUAGGCGGACUCUUAAGUCGGUGGUGAAAUCCUGGAGCUCAACUCCAGAACUGCCUUCGAUACUGAGAGUCUCGAGUCCGGGAGAAGUGAGUGGAACUGCGAGUGUAGAGGUGAAAUUCGUAGAUAUUCGCAAGAACACCAGUGGCGAAGGCGGCUCACUGGCCCGGUACUGACGCUGAGGUGCGAAAGCGUGGGGAGCAAACAGG